GGGGAUGAUCGGUUUCGACAUUGUUCUCAACUGUGACGGGAAGCGGGUCGAGGAUGCAGGGUUAUCUCGAAAACGCUCCCUGCAAAACCAUAGGUGCCAACGAAAAGCGCACCGACUUCGCCCUCGCUGCUUAAGCGAGCCUGAAGUCCGUCAGAUCUGGGUCGCUCUCGCCCAGAACCCUGGCGUCGUUUUGAGAGCUUGCUGCACGGCUGCGUCACAGGACCGUGCGGGACUUGCACUGUGACUGGGCCUGUCGUCUUAGAUGUCUGUGACAAAAGGCGGGGCCGAGCAGAACGCACAACCACAGACUGCACCCGGAGAAGCCUCACUGUGAGCCGAUGGACGGGGGUUCGAUUCCCCCCAUCUCCACUU
Molecule: transfer-messenger RNA, 372 nt
Filed under: Agrococcus casei
Lineage: Bacteria; Bacillati; Actinomycetota; Actinomycetes; Micrococcales; Microbacteriaceae
Also listed under: 1 other name
Description: Standard tmRNA
Rfam family: transfer-messenger RNA
About the family: Bacterial tmRNA, also known as 10Sa RNA or SsrA, is named for its dual tRNA and mRNA-like properties. Its role is to liberate the mRNA from a stalled ribosome.
Source: RNAcentral